GAUGAACGCUGGCGGCGUGCCUAAUACAUGCAAGUCGAGCGAACAGACGAGGAGCUUGCUCCUCUGACGUUAGCGGCGGACGGGUGAGUAACAUGUGGAUAACCUACCUAUAAGACUGGGAUAACUUCGGGAAACCGGAGCUAAUACCGGAUAAUAUAUUGAACCGCAUGGUUCAAUAGUGAAAGACGGUUUUGCUGUCACUUAUAGAUGGAUCCGCGCCGCAUUAGCUAGUUGGUAAGGUAACGGCUUACCAAGGCAACGAUGCGUAGCCGACCUGAGAGGGUGAUCGGCCACACUGGAACUGAGACACGGUCCAGACUCCUACGGGAGGCAGCAGUAGGGAAUCUUACGCAAUGGGCGAAAGCCUGACGGAGCAACGCCGCGUGAGUGAUGAAGGUCUUCGGAUCGUAAAACUCUGUUAUUAGGGAAGAACAAAUGUGUAAGUAACUAUGCACGUCUUGACGGUACCUAAUCAGAAAGCCACGGCUAACUACGUG
Molecule: ribosomal RNA, 497 nt
Filed under: uncultured bacterium
Lineage: Bacteria
Description: partial 16S ribosomal RNA
Rfam family: Bacterial small subunit ribosomal RNA
Source: RNAcentral